GAUGAACGCUGGCGGCGUGCCUAAUACAUGCAAGUCGAGCGAACAGACGAGGAGCUUGCUCCUCUGACGUUAGCGGCGGACGGGUGAGUAACACGUGGAUAACCUACCUAUAAGACUGGGAUAACUUCGGGAAACCGGAGCUAAUACCGGAUAACAUGUUGAACCGCAUGGUUCAACAGUGAAAGACGGUCUUGCUGUCACUUAUAGAUGGAUCCGCGCCGCAUUAGCUAGUUGGUAAGGUAACGGCUUACCAAGGCAACGAUGCGUAGCCGACCUGAGAGGGUGAUCGGACAGAGUGGAAAUGAGACACGGGGAAGAAGCCGAAGGGAGGAAGCAGUGGGGAAUAUUACGCAAGGGGAGAAAGACUGAAGGAGGAAAACCGAGUGAGUGAUGAAGGUAUUCGGAUCGUAAAACUCUGCUAGUAGGGAAGAACAAAGGUGUACGGAAAGAUGCACGUCUUGACGGUACCUAAUCAGAAAGCCAAGGCUAACUACGUG
RNAcentral lists this ribosomal RNA (497 nucleotides) under uncultured bacterium. Its description in RNAcentral is "partial 16S ribosomal RNA". It matches the Rfam family "Bacterial small subunit ribosomal RNA", at positions 28 to 507 of the family's 1533-position model. The record is from RNAcentral.